AAUUCUCAACUAUACAAGUUUUUAUAACCUGUAUGGCUUGGAUCUUGGGAUUUGCGGGCUCUCACGAGUCGGCUUUCCUCAAAUGCAUUAGCAGAGCUUUUGCCGCUAACCUCUAGUGUGAUAAUUAUCUACGCUUUUGAGUUGCGACAUGUCGAGGCUUAGCUUCUAAUCGUCCGCAAGGACAAUACUUGACA
This 194-nucleotide unclassified non-coding RNA is filed under the name uncultured fungus. Its description in RNAcentral is "sequence contains ITS2". Lineage: Eukaryota; Fungi. The record is from RNAcentral. RNAcentral also lists the same sequence under 1 other name.